RNAcentral lists this transfer RNA (107 nucleotides) under Caudoviricetes sp. Its description in RNAcentral is "tRNA-Gln". The stretch from base 1 to 69 matches the Rfam family "tRNA". From Rfam's summary of the family: Transfer RNA (tRNA) molecules are approximately 80 nucleotides in length. Their secondary structure includes four short double-helical elements and three loops (D, anti-codon, and T loops). Lineage: Duplodnaviria; Heunggongvirae; Uroviricota; Caudoviricetes. The record is from RNAcentral.
GCGAUUAGCACAACAGUAGUGCAUCGGACUUUGACUUCGAUUAUGUUGGGGCGGUACCAGCAUCGCCUGCCAUCGCCGCGUCGGUUCGAAUCCGACCAAUGAUUGCA